Molecule: long non-coding RNA, 217 nt
Organism: Paramacrobiotus metropolitanus
Lineage: Eukaryota; Metazoa; Tardigrada; Eutardigrada; Parachela; Macrobiotidae
Exons: 3
Source: RefSeq, a predicted model, not a curated record
AAUGUGUGGAUUUAAGACCGGGACGUGUCAAGAGACUGGGGCUAUCUGGGGAGUGUCCAAAGCGGCGUGGACAGUUACCAUAAUUUUUGCUCAGUUUUACAUGGUCUUUAAUGCCGCUGUUGAUGUUAACACAUGCAACCAAAGAAUUUUGGCGACAUUAAAAGAAUAAUCUCUAUGCAUCGGACACGACUAGUUGAUGCUGCAGACUUGGCCGUGC